RNAcentral lists this ribosomal RNA (742 nucleotides) under Lentilactobacillus parabuchneri. RNAcentral's name for it is "bacterial SSU rRNA". It matches the Rfam family "Bacterial small subunit ribosomal RNA", at positions 51 to 749 of the family's 1533-position model. Lineage: Bacteria; Bacillati; Bacillota; Bacilli; Lactobacillales; Lactobacillaceae. The record is from RNAcentral.
AUACAUGCAAGUCGAACGCGUCUUGGUUAUUGAUGUUAGAUGCUUGCAUUUAACUGAUUUAACAUUGAGACGAGUGGCGAACUGGUGAGUAACACGUGGGUAACCUGCCCUUGAAGUAGGGGAUAACACUUGGAAACAGGUGCUAAUACCGUAUAACAACCAAAACCACCUGGUUUUGGUUUAAAAGAUGGCUUCGGCUAUCACUUUAGGAUGGACCCGCGGCGUAUUAGCUUGUUGGUAAGGUAACGGCCUACCAAGGCAAUGAUACGUAGCCGACCUGAGAGGGUAAUCGGCCACAUUGGGACUGAGACACGGCCCAAACUCCUACGGGAGGCAGCAGUAGGGAAUCUUCCACAAUGGACGAAAGUCUGAUGGAGCAACGCCGCGUGAGUGAUGAAGGGUUUCGGCUCGUAAAACUCUGUUGUUGGAGAAGAACAGGUGUGAGAGUAACUGUUCACAUCUUGACGGUAUCCAACCAGAAAGCCACGGCUAACUACGUGCCAGCAGCCGCGGUAAUACGUAGGUGGCAAGCGUUGUCCGGAUUUAUUGGGCGUAAAGCGAGCGCAGGCGGUUUCUUAGGUCUGAUGUGAAAGCCUUCGGCUUAACCGGAGAAGUGCAUCGGAAACCAGGAGACUUGAGUGCAGAAGAGGACAGUGGAACUCCAUGUGUAGCGGUGAAAUGCGUAGAUAUAUGGAAGAACACCAGUGGCGAAGGCGGCUGUCUGGUCUGUAACUGACGCUGA